This is an RNA transcript of Cyclopterus lumpus (lumpfish), 3412 nucleotides long. It is a transcript of the gene named chaperonin containing TCP1, subunit 3 (gamma), with no coding region annotated. The transcript is spliced from 13 exons. The record is from RefSeq and is a predicted model, not a curated record. NCBI's taxonomy places the organism in Eukaryota, Metazoa, Chordata, Actinopteri, Perciformes, Cyclopteridae.
GAUUGGUUCGGGUUGUGGUUGUAUUCCCGCCCCUGCUGGUUGAGACGUUCCUCUUCUCAAGUCUCCAGAACCUUCCAGGCCGAAACUUUGCUGCUCGCUGUGAAGAUGAUGGGCCAGCAGGUUCUAGUGCUGAACCAGAACAUCAAGAGAGAGUCCGGGCGUAAAGUCCAGGCCGGAAACAUCAACGCUGCCAAGACCAUCGCUGAUGUGAUCAGGACCUGCCUCGGCCCUCGGGCCAUGAUGAAGAUGUUGCUCGACCCCAUGGGGGGCAUCGUGAUGACCAACGAUGGAAACGCCAUCCUCAGAGAGAUCCAGGUUCAGCAUCCUGCAGCCAAAUCGAUGAUCGAGAUCAGCCGCACACAAGAUGAGGAGGUGGGAGACGGGACCACGUCAGUCAUCAUCCUGGCUGGGGAGAUGCUGUCUGUAGCCGAGCAGUUCCUGGAGCAGCAGAUUCACCCCACGGUGGUGAUCGGCGCCUACAGACAGGCUCUGGAGGACAUGCUGGAGACACUGAAGGACCUCAGCACCCCCGUGGACACGUCAGACCGCUCCAUGAUGCUGAAGAUCGUCCACUCCGCCAUCAACACCAAGGCCCUGAGCCGCUGGUCCCAACUGGCCUGUGGCAUCGCGCUGGACGCCGUCCGCACGGUGGAGCUGGAGGACAACGGGCGCAAAGAGAUCGACAUCAAGAAGUAUGCCAAGGUGGAGAAGGUGCCGGGCGGCAUCAUCGAGGACUCGUGUGUGCUGAGAGGCGUCAUGGUGAACAAAGACGUGACCCAUCCCAGAAUGAGACGCUCCAUCAAAGAGCCCCGGAUCAUCCUGCUGGACUGUUCCCUGGAGUACAAGAAGGGCGAGAGCCAGACGGACAUUGAGAUCAGUAAGGAGGAGGACUUUGCCAGAAUCCUGCAGAUGGAGGAAGAAUACAUCCAGCACAUCUGUGAGGACGUCAUCCGCCUGAAGCCUGACCUGGUCUUCACCGAGAAGGGCAUCUCAGAUCUGGCUCAGCAUUACCUGAUGAAGGCCAACAUCACCGCCAUCCGCCGGGUGAGAAAGACCGACAACAACCGCAUCGCCAGGGCGUGCGGGGCUCGUAUUGCCAGCCGGACCGAUGAGCUGCGUGAGGAAGAUGUCGGUACGGGCGCCGGUCUGUUCGAAGUGAAGAAGAUCGGUGACGAGUAUUUCACCUUCGUCACAGAGUGCAAAGACCCCAAAGCCUGCACCAUCCUGCUGAGGGGGGCCAGCAAGGAGAUCCUGGCUGUGAGACUUACACCACCAUCGGUUACACCGUCACUCACACCGCUCAUCGGUUACACCGUCACUUCUACCUCUUCUACUCAUCGGUUACACCGUCUCUUCUACUCAUCGGUUACACCGUCUCUUCUACUCAUCGGUUACACCGUCUCUUCUACUCAUUGGUUACACCGUCUCUUCUACUCAUCGGUUACACCGUCUCUUCUACUCAUUGGUUACACCGUCUCUUCUACUCAUCGGUUACACCGUCUCUUCUACUCAUUGGUUACACCGUCUCUUCUACUCAUUGGUUACACCGUCUCUUCUACUCAUCGGUUACACCGUCACUUCUACUCAUCGGUUACACCGUCUCUUCUACUCAUCGGUUACACCGUCUCUUCUACUCAUUGGUUACACCGUCUCUUCUACUCAUCGGUUACACCGUCACUUCUACUCAUCGGUUACACCGUCUCUUCUACUCAUUGGUUACACCGUCUCUUCUACUCAUUGGUUACACCGUCUCUUCUACUCAUUGGUUACACCGUCUCUUCUACUCAUUGGUUACACCGUCUCUUCUACUCAUCGGUUACACCGUCACUUCUACUCAUUGGUUACACCGUCUCUUCUACUCAUCGGUUACACCGUCACUUCUACUCAUCGGUUACACCGUCUCUUCUACUCAUCGGUUACACCGUCUCUUCUACUCAUUGGUUACACCGUCUCUUCUACUCAUCGGUUACACCGUCACUUCUACUCAUCGGUUACACCGUCUCUUCUACUCAUUGGUUACACCGUCUCUUCUACUCAUUGGUUACACCGUCUCUUCUACUCAUUGGUUACACCGUCUCUUCUACUCAUCGGUUACACCGUCUCUUCUACUCAUUGGUUACACCGUCUCUUCUACUCAUUGGUUACACCGUCUCUUCUACUCAUUGGUUACACCGUCUCUUCUACUCAUCGGUUACACCGUCACUUCUACUCAUCGGUUACACCGUCACUUCUACUCAUCGGUUACACCGUCUCUUCUACUCAUCGGUUACACCGUCACUUCUACUCAUCGGUUACACCGUCUCUUCUACUCAUCGGUUACACCGUCACUUCUACUCAUCGGUUACACCGUCACUUCUACUCAUCGGUUACACCGUCACUUCUACUCAUCGGUUACACCGUCACUUCUACUCAUCGGUUACACCGUCUCUUCUACUCAUCGGUUACACCGUCUCUUCUACUCAUCGGUUACACCGUCACUCACACCGCUCAUCGGUUACACCGUCACUUCUACCUCUUCUACUCAUUGGUUACACCGUCACUUCUACCUCUUCUACUCAUCGGUUACACCGUCUCUUCUACUCAUCGGUUACACCGUCUCUUCUACUCAUCGGUUACACCGUCUCUUCUACUCAUCGGUUACACCGUCACUUCUACUCAUUGGUUACACCGUCUCUUCUACUCAUCGGUUACACCGUCACUUCUACCUCUUCUACUCAUCGGUUACACCGUCUCUUCUACUCAUCGGUUACACCGUCACUUCUACCUCUUCUACUCAUCGGUUACACCGUCACCUCCAUCGAUUACAUGUGCCGCUUGCUGUCUUCAGGAAGUAGAGAGGAACCUCCAGGACGCCAUGCAGGUGUGCCGUAACGUGCUGCUGGACCCCAGCCUGCUGCCGGGGGGCGGAGCCAUAGAGAUGGCGGUGUCGAAGCGCCUGAUGGAGCGCUCUCGGGCGCUGACUGGCAUCGAGCAGUGGCCGUACCGCGCCGUGGCCCAGGCCCUGGAGGUCAUCCCCCGCACGCUGAUCCAGAACUGUGGAGCCUCCACCAUCCGGGUGCUGACCUCCCUGAGGGCCAAACACACCCAGGAGAAUAGUGUGAACUGGGGCGUGGACGGUGAGACCGGCUGUCUGUCUGACAUGAUGGCGUUGGGCAUCUGGGAGCCGCUGGCUGUGAAGGCUCAGACCUACAAGACGGCCGUGGAGACGGCCAUCUUGUUGCUGCGCAUCGAUGACAUCGUCUCUGGUCACAAGAAGAAAGACAAAGAUGGUCAGAUGGGAGGACAGGGAGCCGAGUAGAUCCACAUCGAUCCACAUCGAUCCAGAGCAACAUCAAAGCCACUCCAACAGUGUGUGUGUGUGUGUGGACCAGACAACUCAAUGAAACUCAAUAAACAGUCAGUUAGAAACUCG